UGCUCUUGCUGGGUUUCUCCCUAGGCCGCUGCCUUCCAAUGUCGUGCGGCCAGACAGCACCCCGCUGCUGGCUCUUCAUCUCUUCGCCGGCGGUGCAACUCCCGCCGCCGUCGGGACACCCGCGCUGCCGCCUCCCCGUUAGGGCCACACGCGCUUCGACCUCCUCCCGCCUCCCAGCCGGUGGCGGCAGCGCGCGCCAGCAGACCCGGCCGCGCCUCGUAGCAGCACACACGAUACCUCCGCCGCCGCCCCCUACCGCCAGGACCGUCCGGAGGGACGCCGUGACGGGGCUCGCUUUCCUCCUCUUCGUGCUCGGCCUGGUGAUCAGCUCAGCUCUAUCACUAGUUAUCGUCUCAUUUCCAGCAUGGAGAGCUCUGUAGCAGAUGGAAAUCGCAGCUCGUAAAUUGUCAAAAUUAGCAGCACAAGAGGUACCCGGAACUAUAUCGUCACUAAAGCUGUCAUUCAUGGAGAUCAACGAUCUAACCAGCCAACUAAAGAAAAUUAGGCACAUUUUCACAACAAAUAGAUCUGGGAAGGAUAGAUGACUAAUGUGGCAGCAUGAUCACGGACUGAAUUCUUUAAUCUGUAGUGAUGUCUUAGUUCUUACUACUUUGUUAGAUUAUUACUUGUACUUCACCAUGCCCGGCAAGUGUUCAGUGAAAUGACCGUGCUAAAUUUUUUUGUCCCUUCUUCUUUGAAGCAAUGGAUUCAGAUAUGGCACUAUGUUGAGUCCUCCAACGAUUCGUCCGACAAGGAUGACUACACAAAUGAAACAGUGAUGAUGCAGGAAAUCCAUACAGACGCGGAGUGUGCGGAGGAGCACGUUCUUGAUAUCAAAGGAUCGGUCAAGGGUCAUCAAGUGCUCAACCGCAACAGUGCACACAACCAUUUGAAGUUAAUGGACGAUUAUGUUGCCCCGGAUGCCCUAUCAUCUGACAAUUUUCACUGGCGCUUUCGGAUGCGAAAAAAGAAUCUCUUUGAUAGUCUCUACCAUGGCGUCCGGUCCUUUGAUGACUACUUCAUCUUGAAGAAGGAUGUCGUAGGAAAGAUUGGAUUCUCUUAUCACCAAAAGUGCAUGGCUGGAUGCGAAUACUUGCAUAUGGCAUGGCCGCAGAUUCGGGGGACAAAUACCUCGGAAUGUCCGAGAGCACAUGCGAAUACACCAUGGUCAGAUUUGCUACUGCAGUGGUCGAGGUGUUUGGACCUUGGUACUUGAGAGAGCCAACUGUUGUAGACAGUGAGAUGCUCCUAGCAAUGCCCGAAGCAAGAGGGUGGCCAGGUUUGCUCAGAUCUCUUGAUUGCAUGCACCGGAGAUGGAAGAACUGCACAAAAGCUCUAUAAUGGCAAUAUCAGGGCCAUGUUAAGAAGUCCACCAUCCUUCUUGAAGCAACAUUCUUGAAUCAGUUUGUGAGAUCCCAAAAUUUAGAAUUUUGAAUCAUUAAUCAUUUAAAUAGGAUUAAUUUAAAAUUUGCUUGUGUUGCUUGCCUUUAG
This is a long non-coding RNA of Triticum dicoccoides, 1491 nucleotides long. RefSeq lists it as uncharacterized. The record is from RefSeq and is a predicted model, not a curated record. Lineage: Eukaryota; Viridiplantae; Streptophyta; Magnoliopsida; Poales; Poaceae. The transcript has 4 exons.